RNAcentral lists this ribosomal RNA (465 nucleotides) under Vreelandella stevensii. RNAcentral describes it as "partial 16S ribosomal RNA". It matches the Rfam family "Bacterial small subunit ribosomal RNA", at positions 338 to 795 of the family's 1533-position model. The record is from RNAcentral. Lineage: Bacteria; Pseudomonadati; Pseudomonadota; Gammaproteobacteria; Oceanospirillales; Halomonadaceae.
CCUACGGGUGGCAGCAGUGGGGAAUAUUGGACAAUGGGGGGAACCCUGAUCCAGCCAUGCCGCGUGUGUGAAGAAGGCCCUCGGGUUGUAAAGCACUUUCAGUGAGGAAGAACGCCUGGUGGUUAAUACCCAUCAGGAAAGACAUCACUCACAGAAGAAGCACCGGCUAACUCCGUGCCAGCAGCCGCGGUAAUACGGAGGGUGCGAGCGUUAAUCGGAAUUACUGGGCGUAAAGCGCGCGUAGGUGGCUUGAUAAGCCGGUUGUGAAAGCCCCGGGCUCAACCUGGGAACGGCAUCCGGAACUGUCAAGCUAGAGUGCAGGAGAGGAAGGUAGAAUUCCCGGUGUAGCGGAGAAAUGCGUAGAGAUCGGGAGGAAUACCAGUGGCGAAGGCGGCCUUCUGGACUGACACUGACACUGAGGUGCGAAAGCGUGGGUAGCAAACAGGAUUAGAUACCCUAGUAGUC